GGAUUGGAGUCUGCAACCCGACUCCAUGAAGCUGGAUUCGCUAGUAAUCGCGCAUCAGCCACGGCGCGGUGAAUACGUUCCCGGGCCUUGUACACACCGCCCGUCAAGCCAUGGAAGCCGGGAGUGCCUGAAGUGCGUGACCGCAAGGAGCGUCCUAAGGCAAUACCGGUGACUGGGGCUAAGUCGUAACAAGGUACC
Molecule: ribosomal RNA, 198 nt
Filed under: uncultured bacterium
Lineage: Bacteria
Description: partial 16S ribosomal RNA
Rfam family: Bacterial small subunit ribosomal RNA
Source: RNAcentral